CCUUCCUUCAGCCCUCUUACUUCUUUAAGGCCUUACAUAGAAGUACACAAAUAAGUACUUGAUCUAGAAUCUAAAUCCCAACUAGAAGAAGAGGAAAUCAUUAGAUUAGUUUCAAUAACGAGCAUAUCAGACAUACCUUCAGAAGGUCCAUCUUUCUUUCUGCUUUUGACAGUCACCAGAUAGGCCGAACAGUUCCUCUUUCAAUAGCCUU
RNAcentral lists this long non-coding RNA (211 nucleotides) under Elaeis guineensis (African oil palm). RNAcentral's name for it is "long non-coding RNA (EGUI_LNC042578)". Lineage: Eukaryota; Viridiplantae; Streptophyta; Magnoliopsida; Arecales; Arecaceae. The record is from RNAcentral.